This 325-nucleotide ribosomal RNA is filed under the name uncultured eukaryote. RNAcentral describes it as "partial 18S ribosomal RNA". It matches the Rfam family "Eukaryotic small subunit ribosomal RNA", at positions 1470 to 1796 of the family's 1831-position model. The record is from RNAcentral.
CCCUUAGAUGUCCUGGGCCGCACGCGCGCUACACUGAUGCAUUCAACGAGUAUUUCCUUGGCCGAGAGGCCUGGGCAAUCUUUUAAACCUGCAUCGUGAUAGGGAUAGAUUAUUGCAAUUAUUAAUCUUGAACGAGGAAUUCCUAGUAAACGCAAAUCAUCAAUUUGCAUUGAUUACGUCCCUGCCCUUUGUACACACCGCCCGUCGCACCUACCGAUUGAAUGGUCCGGUGAAAUCUCGGGAUUGUGGCCAGUUCACUUUAUUGGGAGUUGGCUGCGUGAACUUGCUUAAACCUUAUCAUUUAGAGGAAGGUGAAGUCGUAACA